This 253-nucleotide ribosomal RNA is filed under the name uncultured bacterium. RNAcentral describes it as "partial 16S ribosomal RNA". It matches the Rfam family "Bacterial small subunit ribosomal RNA", at positions 524 to 776 of the family's 1533-position model. The record is from RNAcentral.
UACGUAGGGUGCAAGCGUUGUUCGGAAUUAUUGGGCGUAAAGCGCGUGUAGGCGGCUUUGCAAGUCGGGUGUGAAAUUCCUCAGCUCAACUGAGGAAGUGCGCCCGAAACUGCAGAGCUUGAGUACCGGAGAGGAUGGCGGAAUUCCCGAAGUAGAGGUGAAAUUCGUAGAUAUCGGGAGGAACACCGGUGGCGAAGGCGGCUCACUGGCUCGUAACUGACGCUCAUGCACGACAGCGUGGGGAUCAAACAGG